CCCAGCCAUAACCUCUUCUGGACCCAAUCCUGACCCUGCCCACACCUCCCAUGUAACCCACUCUGACCCAGCCACCGCCUCAUGUCACUCACACAGGGUAGAGCAUGAGUCCAUGGCCAAUGUCCCAACCUCCUGGAAUCUCUCCAACUGUCAUGGAACCUCCCCCAACUCCAGCUGCAGGCUUGACUGAAGCCCUGAGGCCUGCCUCUGGGCAGCAGGGGAGACAAGAGGACAUAGAAGAAGGGCCAGAGGGAUUCAAACCGCAAAGGACCAAGCCGGAACCUGGGAGGGAGACCAACAGAUUUCCAGGUGGCCAUGGAGGUGUCUGGAAGGAGGAGCUGAAGCGGUUGGCAGGCUGUUUAGUGCAUCUGGGGACUGGCCUUGCCCACAUCCCCACAUGUCCCAGAGGCCCCAAUCUGGCCCCCAGAGCACCAAGCCAAGUUUCCUUCCAGCAGCAUCCAGUAAUACUCAAAAUGAGACUGAAGUCUCCCCACCAAUUACCUACAGGCCCCGGGUCAGUAUCCAAGGCUUUCAGCCCAUUACCAACAGUGACCAGGUCAGCAUCCAAGAGCCCUUGUCCAUUAUCCACAAUCACCAUGUCCAAGACCCUCCACUAGUCCACGGUUGCUGGGCCAGUACCCAAGACGCACCACCCAUUAUCAAUAGUGGCUGGAUCAGUACUGAGGACACGCCGUCCACCAUGAACAGUCAUCAGCUCAGUAUCCAAGACACAUCGUCAGUUACCUACAGUCACCGCUUCAGUACCCGAGAUGUUCCACCAAUUUCCCAAAAUCACCACUUCAGCAUCCAAAAUUCUCCAUUACUAUCUCAAGAGACCAAUAUAGAGUCUCUUAUCUACAGUGGUAGCCAAGUCAUUAGCCAAGACCAUCUUCCAACAAACCAGAGUCCCUGCUCAAGUACUCAAUGCCUCAUAUCGCCGAUCCAGGCCAAGGUUGAUGCCUCACCUUCAAUUACUCACAUCUCCACAGCCAGUAUCAAAAGCCUUGAUUCAACCAUCUGGACCUCCCAAGAGAGUUCCAAAGACACUAUGGACAGCUUCCUGGGCAACCCAAGUACUCUAGACAACAAUGUCCAGAGCAUACAGUCAAACAGAUCUGCAAAGAUGGAUUCUGGCAGGUGUCAGAGAAAGAGUACAUGCAGCCAAUCACAGCUGCCCCUGGGCUGGCGGCUGCUACACAGAGCCAAGAAGAUCAGCCAUCAGGUGAGCCUGGCACUAAGCCUGGCUGGCAUGGUGAUCAUCGGUCUCAUCGCUCUGGGCCAGCCCUGGAUCCACUUCCAGGUGCCACUGACGCCCCCUGGGGAUCCUGAUGGCCCCUUGUCCAUCCCUAUCAACACCAUCUUCUUUGUGCAGUGCCCUGACAUCUCCUGCCUCCAUGAGUACGACCAGAAUGCUUACCUUCUGGACUUUGCCUGGGCCUUUCUCAUCCUCGCCAGCAUCACCAGCAUCUGCCUCUGCAUCUUACUCCUAAACAUCAUCUUCUUCACCAGCUCCAACACACCCACGCUGGACUUCUCCAACGGCAUCCUCGGGAUCCUGACAGGCAUGGCACUGAGACUUAUCCCUCCAGAACCCUGGCAAAGAGUGCCUUGCCCAGUGCCCAGGAUGAUAUCCAACCCCCUCCCCACCACAUUUCAACACUGUCCUUGUCCUCACAUUCAUUGCCCAUGCCAAUGCUAUCUCCCUCCAAAUCUCCAACCAAGCCCGAUAAAAAAUGUGAACUUCCAAUACAACCGCAUCUCCAGCCCCAAUAUCAGCCUCCAGUUCACCUGUCAUCUCUGUCACCAACGAAUCUCAAACUCAUCGGUAUUCAUUUUUGUGGUGUCCAUACCCAUCUCAUCCCCCAUUCCAAUUCUAUCUCUUUCCAAUCUCCAAACCAUCCCCCUUACCAUCCCUAACCCCUUUCCAAAUCUCAACACUCAUUCCAAAUCCAACCCAACUCUAUCACCUGUGAACCUCACUUUCAAACUCAACACAACCCCAUCCCCAACCUUACCGUCCAUCUUCAUCACUCAAACUUGAACCUCUAC
Molecule: long non-coding RNA, 2049 nt
Organism: Suricata suricatta (meerkat)
Lineage: Eukaryota; Metazoa; Chordata; Mammalia; Carnivora; Herpestidae
Source: Ensembl